UGUUUAAAAAAAAUUACAAUGAAAAAAAGAAAUAAAAAAAUGACGUUUUUAUAGACAAAGAUGGGUUAAAGUUAUGAAAGAUAAAACAAAUAUUGAAAAUAACGUUGAGCUACUUUUUUUUAGAAACAUGAAACCUAUUAGAUGGAUACAUGGCAAAAGAGCUAAGUUUGCUUUGAACAUUAUAGGAUGGGUUGAAGCACUCCAAAUGCAUGACUUUGAAUUAAAAUGGCAUAUACAAAUACUUAUUACUUAGCUACUUAUUGUAUUUUUUUUUUCAUAGUAGCCUUCUAAAGGUGACUAUGUUUACUACACCAAAUCAUUAUUGAAAGAAUCAUUUAUCCUUAUUUCAUACCUUUUUAAAAAAAAUCAAAUAUAUGUGUUAAACACUAAAACAAGAGAAUAUGCGGAUUUUUUAUGAUUAAUUUUAUUGACUUAAAUUGUAAUGUGUUGAUAUUUGAGUUGUUUUAAAUAUGAAAAUCUAAAAUAAAAUAUAUUGAUAUCAAAAUAUGUUGUUUAAAAAAAAUUACAAUGAAAAAAAGAAAUAAAAAAAUGACGUUUUUAUAGACAAAGAUGGGUUAAAGUUAUGAAAGAUAAAACAAAUAUUGAAAAUAACGUAGAGCUACUUUUUUUUAGAAACAUGAAACCUAUUAGAUGGAUACAUGGCAAAAGAGCUAAGUUUGCUUUGAACAUUAUAGGAUGGGUUGAAGCACUCCAGAUGCAUGACUUUGAAUUAAAAUGGCAUAUACAAAUACUGAUUACUUAGCUACUUAUUGUAUUUUUUUUCAUCAUAGUAGCCUUCUAUAGGUGACUAUGUUUACUACACCAAAUCAUUAUUGAAAGAAUCAUUUAUCCUUAUUUCAUACCUUUUUAAAAAAAAUCAAAUAUAUGUGUUAAACACUAAAACAAGAGAAUAUGCGGAUUUUUUAUGAUUAAUUUUAUUGACUUAAAUUGUAAUGUGUUGAUAUUUGAGUUGUUUUAAAUAUGAAAAUCUAAAAUAAAAUAUAUUGAUAUCAAAAUAUGUUGUUUAAAAAAAAUUACAAUGAAAAAAAGAAAUAAAAAAAUGACGUUUUUAUAGACAAAGAUGGGUUAAAGUUAUGAAAGAUAAAACAAAUAUUGAAAAUAACGUAGAGCUACUUUUUUUUAGAAACAUGAAACCUAUUAGAUGGAUACAUGGCAAAAGAGCUAAGUUUGCUUUGAACAUUAUAGGAUGGGUUGAAGCACUCCAGAUGCAUGACUUUGAAUUAAAAUGGCAUAUACAAAUACUGAUUACUUAGCUACUUAUUGUAUUUUUUUUCAUCAUAGUAGCCUUCUAUAGGUGACUAUGUUUACUACACCAAAUCAUUAUUGAAAGAAUCAUUUAUCCUUAUUUCAUACCUUUUUAAAAAAAAUCAAAUAUAUGUGUUAAACACUAAAACAAGAGAAUAUGCGGAUUUUUUAUGAUUAAUUUUAUUGACUUAAAUUGUAAUGUGUUGAUAAUUGAGUUGCUUUAAAUAUGAAAAUCAAAAAUAAAAUAUAUUGAUAUCAAAAUAUGUUGUUUAAAAAAAAUUACAAUGAAAAAAGGAAAUAAAAAAAUGACUUUUUUAUAGACAAAAAUGGGUUAAAGUUAGGAAAAAUAAAACAAAUAUUGAAAAUAACGCAGAGCUAGUUUUGUUAGCAACAUGAAACUUAUUAGAUGGAUACAUGGCAAAAGAGCUAUGUUUUCUUUGAACAUUAUAGGAUGGGUUGAAGCACUCCAAAUGCAUGACUUUGAAUUAAAAUGGCAUAUACAAACACUUAUUACUUAGCUACUUAUUGUAUUUUUUUCUUCAUAGUAGCCUUCAAAAGGUGACUAUGUUUACUACUCCAAAUCAUUAUUGAAAGAAUCAUUUAUCCUUAUUUCAUACCUUUUUAAAAAAAAUCAAAUAUAUGUGUUAAACACUAAAACAAGAGAAAAUGCGGAUUUUUUAAGAUUAAUUUUAUUGACUUAAAUUGUAAUAUGUUGAUAAUUGAGUUGUUCUAAAUAUGAAAAUCUAAAAUAAAAUAUAUUGAUAUCAAAAUAUGUUGUUUAAAAUAAAUUACAAUGAAAUAAAGAAAAAAAAAUGACGUUUUUAUAGACGAAGAUGGGUUAAAGUUUUGAAAGAUAAGACAAAUAUUGAAAAUAACGUAGAGCUACUUUUGUUAGAAACAUGAAACCUAUUAGACGGAUACAUGGCAGAAGAGCUAAGUGUGCUUUGAACAUUAUAGGAUGGGUUGAAGCACUCCAAAUGCAUGACUUUGAAUUAAAAUGGCAUAUACAAAUACUUAUUACUUAGCUACUUAUUGUAUUUUUUUUCAUCAUAGUAGCCUUCUAUAGGUGACUAUGUUUACUACACCAAAUCAUUAUUGAAAGAAUCAUUUAUCCUUAUUUCAUACCUUUUUAAAAAAAAUCAAAUAUAUGUGUUAAACACUAAAACAAGAGAAAAUGCGGAUUUUUUAUGAUUAAUUUUAUUGUCUUAAAUUGUAAUGUGUUGAUAAUUGAGUUGUUCUAAAUAUGAAAAUCUAAAAUAAAAUAUAUUGAUACCAAAAUAUGUUGUUUAAAAAAAAUUACAAUGAAAAAAGGAAAUAAAAAAAUUUCUUUUUUAUAGACAAAAAUGGGUUAAAGUUAGGAAAGAUAAAACAAAUAUUGAAAAUAACGUAGAGUUACUUUUGUUAGAAACAUGAAACCCAUUAGAUGUAUAUAUGGAAAAAGAGCUAAGUUUGCUUUGAUCAUUAUAGGAUGGGUUGAAGCACUCCAAAUGCAUGACUUUGAAUUAAAAUGGCAUAUACAGAUACUUAUUACUUAGCUACUUAUUGUAUUUUUUUCUUCAUAGUAGCCUUCUAAAGGUGACUAUGUUUACUACACCAAAUCAUUAUUGAAAGAAUCAUUUAUCCUUAUUUCAUACCUUUUUAAAAAAAAUCAAAUAUAUGUGUUAAACACUAAAACAAGAGAAUAUGCGGAUUUUUUAUGAUUAAUUUUAUUGACUUAAAUUGUAAUGUGUUGAUAUUUGAGUUGUUUUAAAUAUGAAAAUCUAAAAUAAAAUAUAUUGAUAUCAAAAUAUGUUGUUUAAAAAAAAUUACAAUGAAAAAAAGAAAUAAAAAAAUGACGUUUUUAUAGACAAAGAUGGGUUAAAGUUAUGAAAGAUAAGACAAAUAUUGAAAAUAACGUAGAGCUACUUUUGUUAGAAACAUGAAACCUAUUAGAUGGAUACAUGGCAAAAGAGCUAAGUUUGCUUUGAACAUUAUAGGAUGGGUUGAAGCACUCCAAAUGCAUGACUUUGAAUUAAAAUGGCAUAUACAAAUACUGAUUACUUAGCUACUUAUUGUAUUUUUUUUCAUCAUAGUAGCCUUCUAAAGGUGACUAUGUUUACUACACCAAAUCAUUAUUGAAAGAAUCAUUUAUCCUUAUUUCAUACCUUUUUAAAAAAAAUCAAAUAUAUGUGUUAAACACUAAAACAAGAGAAUAUGCGGAUUUUUUAUGAUUAAUUUUAUUGACUUAAAUUGUAAUGUGUUGAUAUUUGAGUUGUUUUAAAUAUGAAAAUCUAAAAUAAAAUAUAUUGAUAUCAAAAUAUGUUGUUUAAAAAAAAUUACAAUGAAAAAAAGAAAUAAAAAAAUGACGUUUUUAUAGACAAAGAUGGGUUAAAGUUAUGAAAGAUAAGACAAAUAUUGAAAAUAACGUAGAGCUACUUUUGUUAGAAACAUGAAACCUAUUAGAUGGAUACAUGGCAAAAGAGCUAAGUUUGCUUUGAACAUUAUAGGAUGGGUUGAAGCACUCCAAAUGCAUGACUUUGAAUUAAAAUGGCAUAUACAAAUACUGAUUACUUAGCUACUUAUUGUAUUUUUUUUCAUCAUAGUAGCCUUCUAAAGGUGACUAUGUUUACUACACCAAAUCAUUAUUGAAAGAAUCAUUUAUCCUUAUUUCAUACCUUUUUAAAAAAAAUCAAAUAUAUGUGUUAAACACUAAAACAAGAGAAUAUGCGGAUUUUUUAUGAUUAAUUUUAUUGACUUAAAUUGUAAUGUGUUGAUAUUUGAGUUGUUUUAAAUAUGAAAAUCUAAAAUAAAAUAUAUUGAUAUCAAAAUAUGUUGUUUAAAAAAAAUUACAAUGAAAAAAAGAAAUAAAAAAAUGACGUUUUUAUAGACAAAGAUGGGUUAAAGUUAUGAAAGAUAAGACAAAUAUUGAAAAUAACGUAGAGCUACUUUUGUUAGAAACAUGAAACCUAUUAGAUGGAUACAUGGCAAAAGAGCUAAGUUUGCUUUGAACAUUAUAGGAUGGGUUGAAGCACUCCAAAUGCAUGACUUUGAAUUAAAAUGGCAUAUACAAAUACUGAUUACUUAGCUACUUAUUGUAUUUUUUUUCAUCAUAGUAGCCUUCUAAAGGUGACUAUGUUUACUACACCAAAUCAUUAUUGAAAGAAUCAUUUAUCCUUAUUUCAUACCUUUUUAAAAAAAAUCAAAUAUAUGUGUUAAACACUAAAACAAGAGAAUAUGCGGAUUUUUUAUGAUUAAUUUUAUUGACUUAAAUUGUAAUGUGUUGAUAUUUGAGUUGUUUUAAAUAUGAAAAUCUAAAAUAAAAUAUAUUGAUAUCAAAAUAUGUUGUUUAAAAAAAAUUACAAUGAAAAAAAGAAAUAAAAAAAUGACGUUUUUAUAGACAAAGAUGGGUUAAAGUUAUGAAAGAUAAGACAAAUAUUGAAAAUAACGUAGAGCUACUUUUGUUAGAAACAUGAAACCUAUUAGAUGGAUACAUGGCAAAAGAGCUAAGUUUGCUUUGAACAUUAUAGGAUGGGUUGAAGCACUCCAAAUGCAUGACUUUGAAUUAAAAUGGCAUAUACAAAUACUGAUUACUUAGCUACUUAUUGUAUUUUUUUUCAUCAUAGUAGCCUUCUAAAGGUGACUAUGUUUACUACACCAAAUCAUUAUUGAAAGAAUCAUUUAUCCUUAUUUCAUACCUUUUUAAAAAAAAUCAAAUAUAUGUGUUAAACACUAAAACAAGAGAAUAUGCGGAUUUUUUAUGAUUAAUUUUAUUGACUUAAAUUGUAAUGUGUUGAUAUUUGAGUUGUUUUAAAUAUGAAAAUCUAAAAUAAAAUAUAUUGAUAUCAAAAUAUGUUGUUUAAAAAAAAUUACAAUGAAAAAAAGAAAUAAAAAAAUGACGUUUUUAUAGACAAAGAUGGGUUAAAGUUAUGAAAGAUAAGACAAAUAUUGAAAAUAACGUAGAGCUACUUUUGUUAGAAACAUGAAACCUAUUAGAUGGAUACAUGGCAAAAGAGCUAAGUUUGCUUUGAACAUUAUAGGAUGGGUUGAAGCACUCCAAAUGCAUGACUUUGAAUUAAAAUGGCAUAUACAAAUACUUAUUACUUAGCUACUUAUUGUAUUUUUUUUCUUCAUAGUAGCCUUCUAAAGGUGACUAUGUUU
RNAcentral lists this long non-coding RNA (5403 nucleotides) under Lathyrus oleraceus (garden pea). RNAcentral describes it as "Pisum sativum (pea) long non-coding RNA (PSAT_LNC041289)". The record is from RNAcentral. Lineage: Eukaryota; Viridiplantae; Streptophyta; Magnoliopsida; Fabales; Fabaceae.